UCACCACCACCCCUACUUGCCCCCCCUCUCUCCCCCUCAGGCUUUUAAAAAUAAAUGCUGUCAGAAGACAUUUGCGCCCAACUUUCUUUAACAUGUGAUAGUUACGUGAAUUCCUACUAUUUUGCAGGCCCUACUGGCUCUACCAUUCUGCGUAGCAGAAGUUCACUUUCUGCUAAAUUGUUUUUUUCUAGGACAAAAAAGGAAACAUCCACUCCCUGAAAGUGUAUUUCAAGUUAGUUUAAUUAACCUCUAUAACAGUAAUCACUGCAAAAGUGACAAGCAGCAUAGAAAAUUAGAAGUGCCUUUUUUAAGUGGCAAAUGUAGAGCCUACAGCUUUUCAUCUGUUGUCUGUUGUCCUGUCACUUGGAAAAGCAUAUGCUUCAUGUAAUACAAGUUUAUAGAUAUAUCUAUCAUAGAAUCAUAGGCAUCAUAGAAUGAUUUGAGUUGGACAGGAUCUUAAAGCUCACCCUGUUCCAACCUCUGACAUGGGCAGGUUGCCACCCCCAGCUCAGGCUGCCCAGGGCCCAUCCAACCUGAUGCUGAGCGCCUCCAGGAAUGGGGCACCCACACCUUCUCUGGGCAGCUGUGCUAAUUGAACCAUACUAGGUUCAUGUGGGACCACUCCUCAAGCCUGUCCUGGUCUCUCUGUGUGGCUGGAGUCAUGGACUCCAUUGCUGGUGCAGAACAAAGACCUUUAUUGUAUGUGCUUACAACCUCGUAUACCCAUGCAACAACCCCUUGGUCACAUGUACCAACCAGCUUUUUUACUCAUUUGCAAGGUAAUGACUUUCUUUGUCCCACAUCUCUGGAUGACUUCAGUCGUAUCAUCAGCACCAUUCAGUUUAGUGUCAUCAGCAAACUUACUGAGUGUACACUAUCAAGACUGUUCAUAAAGAUGUUAAAGAGCAAUGAUCCCAAUAUGAAUGUCUGAGGGAAGCUGUGGAGCAUGGAUGUUUCCCUUUUCAUGGACCCAAGGGAGUUUGUGGCAGUGAAAUAAUCAAGAGAAUAAAUUAAUUUUCUUCACAGUUUAUUAGGACUUCGACUGUGAGAGGCUGGAAUUGUGGAGGGUUUGUUUAGAGUUAUUUUUCCAUGAACUCAGACUUUUAGCGGGUGCCUCCUGGAUGGCACACAAGUGACACAUUUGUGACUGCACAAAACUAAUAGACAUAUCAGAACUCACACAUUAGUCAUGCUUAGAUUGAUAAUACUUGCAAAUGUGUCUUAUUGUGAGGCUACAUGAAAUGAAUUUUCAUAGGUUAGCAUUGUCAUUUUUAAUUGACAAUUACGAACUCUAAUAUUCACUUAGAAUACAGAAUAUUUAACUUAAUUGGACAUUUUGAAUUCUUUAAUAUUUUGGUGGUUUUGCUUAAACUAAUGGACCUUAGGAGUUUUUGUGCUUAUGCAUACUGCUUAUUGCUCAUCAGCAGUUUCAUCUAAUCCUAGCAUCUCACUGGGUUCAUGUAAGCAGAAUUCCAUUAUAACAGUUUGAGGCCAGAGCUGGACUCCUUCUGUCUUAGCUAAGCAAGUUGUUUGAGAAAGAAUUUGCUUAAGCCGGUCAGACAGAGCAGUAGUGACAAGGAACUUCUGAACCCACAGCCCGCCUCCAGUCGCCCUGCAUAUGCUUAUGCAGGAGCUAAUGUACAUUUCAUUCAUCUUCAUGCUAAUAUGCUAAUUAGAGGUGUUUUCAGGCCAGGGAGCUUUGGCUCAGGCCUCAGAAGCUGGGAUGACUUCAAUAGAUAAGGUGGAGGUAAUGGCCUUCUGCUGCAAGGUGGAUUACUUCUGUUGCAUCAGCAGUUUUAAUUCUUUUUGAUCCUUGUUGUGGCUUUUUGAUGCUAUGAUGCUCUUUUGAAACACUUGGAAUGCAUUGUGUGCUUGCUGCAGACAUGGCUUUCAUUGCUAUUUGCCUCUGCAAUAUCACUUUUUCACACAACAAAAGAAAAAAGAAUGUUUUCUGUAUGAAUUGAAGAGGCUUCUGCUACUCUGCCUCACUGAUAAAUGCCUUUAUGCAGAAUUACACCCUUACACAUUUACCUUUCUGUUUCAGAUAUUUCAGUGCACUUGUUCUGUUCCUGAGUUACGCAGUCUAUAGAGUCAUUUGUAUGUCUGUGUCCAUGUAGACUAAAUCCAACAUAAAGGGCCUGGGUGCAGCGCAAUGAAGGGAGAGUUCUGUGAUCCAGCAUUUGCUGAUGGCUUCGUGGUGAGUGUGGAGUCCCUCAUUUGUGGGUGACGAAGCCUGAAGCACUUAUGAUGCCCUGAAGCACCAUGAAUGAACUGGAGGGAUAAAUGUAUUCCAUGCUGUCAUUUUCCAUAUUAGUAUGUAAUCUUUCUGCCAGACAUCAUUAGCAGUACUAGCUCACUGCUGUCUAGGGAAUUCCCAUAAAAUAUAAUAAUUAUGCUGAGCCCCCAGCUAAUGUCACAUCCACCCCUAGGUUUAAGGAACUUAACCUAGUUUUACAGAUGCUCUUCCCUAACUGCAGGUGCUGAAGUGUCAUUAGAAACAGGAAAGCAAAAAUAUUAUUUUGGGCUGACGGAUAAUCCAGAAAUGUCAUUAAUUUGCAUGGCCAGACAAAAGUGACCAGGUAAACUCAUUGUGCAAACCAAGAACAUACUUCACUAUCAUAGUCAUGUACUGCUCUGUCAGCCUCUGUUACACCUGCAAGCUAUGGUGCAGCAUUGACAAAAAUGCUGAAUAGCUUUGGGACAAAAACUAGUCCAUGGGGUAUCCUAUUCGAGAGGCUCCUCUUUGGUUUCUUUGUACUGACUAAUCUUGAAAUAUGGAAUCUGAGUCAGAUUCAAAUCUGAACUGGCAGAUUCCUUGGUUUCAGCUAGUAUCUGUGUAAGAGAUUAUUCUUUUAUAUGAUUGACUCAAAGUCUGCUGAGGAACAAGUCCAGGCAAGUCCUGGGCAAAGGCAGAGAAAUCUUCUCUCUGGAGGACAUUGAUGGACAGGUCCUGGCUAAGGGUUGUGAAAUCCUUUAAGGAGUACAGAUGGACAAGGCCAGGGGCAACAACAGAGGGAUAAGCUGCUGCUAAUGGCCGGGAAACGGUCUUUUUGUGUGGACUUAUCUCGAGGAAGAUGGCCAUCUCAGGAGGUAUGCACAUGACUCUUGCUCAAGCACCCAGGGAUGUCACGUAGGCAGCAGAAAAUGGAGGAUAAAAGAGGGUCCAACAACCAAGAGAUUUGAGGGGUUUUCUGCCAUCUGAUCUCUCACCGUGACAGACGUGAAGGGUUUCGGCCAUCAGAUCCCUCACCACGACGGACACGAGGUUUCUGCCUUCAGAUCCUUCUCUACGGACCGUAUGCUGACGGACUUCCCUGGGCCUGCUACCUGAGACCUGCUGCUUCCUCCCUGACUUACUCUGCGGCUUCUUCCUGGACCCACCCGGUACCUGCACCCUCUCGCUGCCCAAGACCGGCCUCGCUGCUCCUGCCCUUCGGCCUCGGACCGUCGUAACGUCGUGCAACGGGACUGCUGCCGGAUCCUGGUGGGUUGGACAAAGGCAUGCACAAAAUCUGUGAACAUUUUCUCCCAGAUGAGUUCUGUGGUGCCUACUAUCCAGGAAGACUCCCAGAAGCAGCUGUGGAGGUUUUUUCUCAAGAGUUUAACCUAUUUGAAUGGAAACAGAAAAGGAAAAACAAAAGGCACAUUUUCGUCUUUCUGCUAUGCUACUUCUAUCAUGCUGAAGGAAUUCAGAAUGUAUCCAGCUGGCAAGUUUCUUUUCUGGGUCCUGUCAUUGGAAGUCACAACACUUUGUUAAAGCAUUUCUUAAAAAGAAUUAAAGGUAACAUUUUGCCUUCCCAAUUUUUCAAAGCUUUGUAUUCUGUAUAUUAGACAUUUGGAGUUCUGUAUGUGUGAAUAUAUGGUAUAAUAGAAUCUAAUCCUAGGCACAAUUAAGAUCCACAGGAUUAUUUUCCUUUGGCCUCCCUGGACACAUCCCUGCUGUUUCACACGUCACAUGGAAGUAAAAUAGUAUUUGUCACUGGUUGCUAACUGUUGCUGAGGUUACAAGUUUCUAACUGAAAUAAGUGCUCUCCAGCAGACCUAUUACGUGAUAGCAGCUGAAGUGUGGAUGGAGAAACAGAAAUUAAUGUACCAUAGUACCAUUAAUUAAUGUACCAUAUUUAUUUCCCUUCCUUAAUUUUACAUACUGAACUAAAAAAGUUCAGUAUUAACUAAAAAAGUUAAUAUUCAUCUAUUCAUCACAGGGAAAAGGUCUACUAGUGAUUUAACAUUGUUUUGUGGUAAUUGAUUCAAUUGAAUUAAAAAUAUUUAUUCCAGAAUAUGAUUAUUUGAUUCAGUAAUAUUUUCCAAGGUGUUUAUUCCCAAAUAAUAGAAAUAUUCUUUGUUAGAAGUACCGAACAGUUUUACUGUGUGGAUGAAUUAUAGGGACUUAAUCAGAGUCACAUGAAGUCUUUACUGGAGCAAGGAAUUUAUUUAUUUUAAAGAAUAAUUUAUUUCAAGAUAAAAUUAGCCAGUGUGAAUUACUAAGAUUACCUUUGUAAGAGUUAAGAAUCAUAGUCAUAUUUUAUGGCAUAUGUUUUGAAUACGUGUUUCAUAUUGUUGUAUACGUUCUUAAUCCAUUUAGAAAAGGAAUUGCAUAUAAUCGAUUAGUAACUGUGUGCAGUUAAUCGAUCCCUAUAUGAAGUUUUCUGCCACAGGUGAGCAUUUGGAUGUUACUUAUACUAACAUAUCACAAUUUUAAAAUCUUCCUACUCUUCUGGACAACUCGUGAACAUCACUGAGUUGCUCCCCUAACAUGCACUUUGUUUGGAGAAGGAGUGAUAAAGCUAACACACCUGACCUUUGUCAGUUUUGUCCAUUAGUGGAUCACUGUAUCACCUUUACAGUUCAUUUGACCUGCUGGUAAAAAAUUCAGUGUAAGAAAAAUGCAUAUGUAUCUGCUUCAACAUGCACUGAAAUUGCCAAGAAUUUUUCUGUUGGCUUAAUCUGAAAAUAGUUCUCUCACUACUUGUGGAGGCUGUGAGAUUGUGCAUAGUUUAGAAUGACCUCAUUAAAAUCAAUAGCACUCUACUGCAUGUACUGUUUUUAAAAUUUCACUCCCGUUUUUAUCUGCAGUUUGUCCACACAUUCAUAGAAUCAUAGGAUGGUUUGGGUUGGAAGGGACCUUUUUCCCACCUCCUGAAGAAAUGCUCUUAAGAUAUAAGGAGAGAGCAUCCUCUCCACUCAGGAAGAACACAUCAGAAAUAAAAUGCUAACUGUAUUUACGUUAGAGUUCGUGAUGAAAUAAUGAACUAUUUGUCAUGGAGUUAUCUAGAUCAAUCUAGAUAAAUCUAUGUCCGUGAAGGGGGCACUAGGUCUGUGGGCUCCCUGGCUCCCCAAAAUGGGAGGGGAAAAGGGAACGGGGUAGGGGAAUGGGAGCUGGGCUCAGAGAGGGAAAAAGAACAGAGCAGUGACAAUGAUCUAAGGAGGAAAACUUAUUUUACUAACUAUGAUAUUGGAAUGCAAGAUAACACAAUAUAAUGCAAUCUAAUUGAAAGUAAGGGUAAUAAAUCAAAUAAAAAAAGAGAGAGAAAGUUUCUGAAACUGCAAGGCCUACUUGAUGAAGGUGCAUGGCUUGGAAGCACACCCACCCUUCUACGUGGCUACCAGAGAGAGAGCAUGAGCCUGAUCCCGUGACUCAAAUCUUGUGAUUUCUGUGACGUAUCUUCCAUCUCUGACUGUGAGGUCCUCUGGGAUACGUAGAUCUUCUUCUCUUUUGAGAAGCACGUAUCUGGAAGGUUGUCAAUCCAUGGAACUGGAGUAUUAACCCUUUAAUUACCUGUGCUGUUCAUGAUGUUAUGAAGUGGAAUACCAGUAGCAAAAUUACAAAACCAUGACACUAUUUCACUCCUUCAAGAAAAACAAAUGCAAUCCUUGUCCCAGACAGCUUGUUCUUUAAGUAUAAAACAGGACCCAUGAUCUAGGUUCUGAUCUGUCGGGAAGUUAUCACCCCCACACCUAAGAACUAUCCAAUUUUUCUCCCUUGGGGCUUGGAAAUGUGAAAACAGCCAAGUUCUCAGCUGAGUCACACAAAACUAUUUGACUAUGGGUUGCUAGAAAAUGGAUGAGAUAAUCAGAUGUAAGCCAAAUAUUGUUGUGUCUUUUUUUUUUUUUGUAAUUUUUUUUUAAUUUAUUUUUCUUUUUUUUUUUUUUUUUUUAGUGAAAGUAAAAAUUCCUUUUCUGUCCAGGACUAUAACUUCUUUUCUUCUGUAGACAUUAUUUUAUGUCAAGGGCCAGUGCCAGUGAAUAUGCAGACAGAACAUGAAUACUUCUAGCUCUAACUGUUGUGCUGACAACUGCACAUUCAUGAAAUUAUGAUAAGAAAAAUGCUACUAAUUAAUGGUCAGUACUACCAUGUGGAAAAAGUUAUGGAAGUUUUACUAAGUUGUCAGUUCAGCUGAAAUGCUAUAGAAGAGUAUAAACAUUUCUGACAAAAACAUUUGUAAAACAAUUUUGUUUAUUUUUGUAUAAAAUAAAACAACGGAUUUCCUUGCCUCUUCUAGUUCUUCCCUAGUGGAGAUUAUGGUAAGGAAAUGGAAAUUAUUUUCAUACUGAAUAAAAUAAAAUUUGCAUGAAACUAUUUUCCAAAAGGAUUUUCAUUUUCUUUGUAAAACUCAUAUGAAGCCACGAUUAAGUUCAGCAUGAAAAAUAUAGUUCUCUUACUGGGUAAUUUAUUAACUAUGAGCUCUAGAAGGAGUCUGAAAAGCAAGUUUUUGAGAGCUAGAAUGAUUUAUGAAAAAUGUGACAUAAAUUCACACAGAGUAUAAACAAUACAGUUAUUACUAGGCUGAGAGAUUUUCCUACUGCCUUUUAAAAUUACAUUGAAAUUUUUCUUCAGACCUCACUCCAGGGGUCCAGGCAUUGACUUCUGAGAAAUUUAGGUUAAACAGAAAAAAAGGAAGAAAUUUUAUUCCUGCUGUGAAUUCUAACAAGAUCACAUGUAUUCCAUCAGUUAGCUACCCAGCUACAGAGGAUAUCUUGUGGAUAUAUUCUAUGGAGUAUUGCGAGAUGAUAUCAAAUAUCAAAUAAAGGAAAAAAGAAAGCAGAGAAGACUUAGCUUUUCCAAACUUGGUAUUUCAAAAUGAAGCCUAUUAGGAACUGAAUUUGUAUCUCUGAAGUUUUCUGUUCUGGAGUAAAUCUGUAGUAAUUCAUUUGUUUUUAAUGAAAGUUUAGGAAUUCAGGGCUAAAGUGGGAGGGAAGAAUGAGACCCACUGUAUGAGAGUGACAAAUCACUUUUACAUUUGCACUGAUAUGUUUAUAAACUUCUGUUUUGGAUAUCUGGCACACAUAUGCAUGUGUUUGUAUUGUUUUUCCUUUGCAAAGUACUCAAGGGAAGCAUGAUAGAUAUAUAUGGUUUAUCUAUAAAAUGUGAUCAAAUGUAAAGUGCCUACAUAUUUAUAUAUUCAAGGAUGCCUAAAUUUAUGUAUUGCUUAUAUUUAAAUGUAUAAUUGUAUGCACAUUUAUGUUCAUAUGUGACACGUGUAUUGCAUACAGUUGAUUAACCAUAUUUAGACAACAGACUUAAUGUACUUGGUCAAUGCAUUCAGAUUAUUUAUGGACAUUUGCGUACAUAGGUACGUUCGGCUAAUGCUGUCUUAUUCUGUCUUCAGAAGCAGUUUUCUGAAGGCUGCAGAGAGCCCGUGGAGGACUUAGUAGCUGAGGCAAAGCCUUAUAAUCACAAAUUGUAUGAAAUUGUGUCUGUACUUUAUUUUAUACUACACUGAACAAGGAUUGAAGUCAGAUUCCAAAUGGUGUAUUGUUCCUGAGUUGAAGGCUUUGACUGACAAACUUAAGACAUGGAAAAUAAACAGCAGGGAGAACAGCACCCAUCCUUGGCAUUGACCCCAUCCUUGUGUGGAAAGCAUCUCUAACACCAUCCCCUCAAGGCACCAGCCAAGCAUUUGAAGCCUCAACAAUAAAACUAGUUCUGAACCUGAUUCUUGUGAAGAACCGCUUUCCUUUGGAGGAAAAUUAUAUUCAACAAACAAUGUAAAAGAAGAAGCUACCCUUUCUGUUCAAAACUAAUCGGAGAUGCAGUGGCUUUAGAAAAAAUCCCUGGUUAAAAAAGUUGGAAGCAGAUGCUUUGUCCAUUGCAGACUUGGCUUGUGGAAGAAGUGCCGUUUUGUGGCUGGCUCAGGCAGAGUGAAGCGAGACUGCUCAGGCUGACUGGACAGGCUGGGGCAUCUGAAGUCUCCCUGCUGGAGGUGGCUGUGCUUCCCAUGACCUCCAGCAGCUGAAGUCAAUACCAGCAACUUCCAUCCAUGCCCACAGUGUAUGAGGGAAAAAAUAGCACAAGGGCCUUGCCCACUGUCAGCACCCUUUGUUUUUCCUGCAGGUCCACAACAUGAUUCCUUGAGAUUAGCCAUGAAUUUCACGCUCUGAGCUGAUCAAUUCAGUCAAUUUACUCUUUUGAGUAAAUUGAUUCUGUGGAACAAAGGGAUCUGCUGGUGGGGCAGUUCCUGGGAAAGCAGCAGGCCUAUGUAAACAGCCCCAUCCGUGCCUCGGUGCUGAGCUCCUGUGCCAUAUGGUGCCACUAUGAACUUAUUAACUGGAGGAUUAACUCAGCCCAUCAUUUGGGUUCCCCAGCUUCCAGCUGGGAGAGUUAUUGAUGGUCUAGCUGCUGCUCUAGCCUUGGAAGUUAUUCCCCCCAUUUAACAGAGUCAAGAAGACAGAAAAUUGCCCCCUUUGUAAAUGCUAAUCUCACCACUCCUUCCAACAACCAAUGCAGCAAUUUGUUCCAGGCAAAGUCUUAAAAUUGGUAUAGUACACAUCAAAUGCAUAGUAAUUAGUGAUUUCUUUUGAAAACUCCUUCACUUAUUAAGGGUCUCCUUUUCCAUAUGUUCAUCAUGGCCCACUUCACCCUUCAAUUACAAAACAGCUCUUUCUACUAAUUGUGAGAAGGUACAUUGUACCUGGUAUGUGUACUAAAAGCUACACCUUCUGAGGCUUAAUUUGGGGUCAGAGGAAAAGCAGACAGAUACACAGACAUAAAGUCUUAGCAAUGCUAUUCUCAUUUCAGGCAUAUUCAUUUUCAUUGCUACUAGUUAUGCUGCUGACUGGAGCACUCCAUCAUGGACCAUUUUGUUAGAGACAGCAAACCCUGCACCUGCAUGUCAUUACACCUGCACUGGCAAUGAGACAGCUGCUUUCCCACUGCUGCUGAAUAGCACCUCACUAGCAGAUAUUUAUUUCUGUGUACCUUCUACAUCUAUGGGAAAACACUGGUAAAUCUUAAAAUUUAUAACCUGAGUUAGAUUACAGUGUCUGGUCUAUGUAGUUGUAUCUGUGUUGGUUCAGGCCACAGUUAUUUCUUUUACCAUGUAUGAUUUUCUAUAAUGGGUCUUUAGUUCUUAAAAGACUAGUAAUAUAUUACUUGUGGAUACCAGAAUUCACACCAAGAUUGUAACAUGGAGAUGGAAGUUGGGAAGAAAAUGUACCCCAAGAAAGAGGUGUGAAAAAAAUUGCAUCUUUUUCUUGUUGAAAAUGUUAAAAUGUGCUUUUUGUUUUGAUUGCCUUAUGCCAAGUAACUACAAUCGUAAUCUUGACAAAAGAUUUGUGUUUAUGAGUAUCAGGACUAAUAUCUAGAGUUGGAUAAAUAAAUGGUCACACUCUGAAGCAGAUUUCACUGCUAUGGUAUUUAUUAUCAUAUCCUCUUUGUGGGCAACUUUGAGUUGGUUUAGGUCAUUAUCUUCUUCUUCAACACAUACAUUAUCUAAAGCCCUAUUCAAAAUUAAUACAUCACUAUGAAAUGAGGGAAAAAUGUCUCAUGUGGAUAAGGACAAAUGAAAGCUCCAGGUGCUUGAAGAAAUGCAUGCUCUAGUGGUGUCCCUACCGUUGCUUUAAACAUGAAUAUGCUUUUUUUUUUUUUUUUAAAUAAUGAAUUAAAAGAUGAUAAUUUUAGAACAUAUGUAGGGGCCGACAAUUCAUUUGAGUGAGUAGAAAUCUCUGGUUCCCUUGUCUAAACCCAAGAGGAAAAAUUCAUUCAAACCUCUGUUAAUAUUUUUUCCUUGGUUUUGUUGAAACUUCAUUUCAAUCAAGAUUUUCCAAGCAGUUCUAAGCAAGAAGAAAUGGAACAUCCUUAUCUUUUAAAAGGAAUAUUAAAGGAAGUAUUAUCUCAUUUCACUUCAUGCUGCAGCAUUUUAAAUAGUCACAUAAAACAUUAAAACUGAGGUAGCGCAGAGAAGUGCUGGCUGCAAACAUGCCACAUUUGUGUUUUCUGCCACUGGAAAUCCACUGAACAGAUGUUCUAGCCAAACUUGUGAUUUUUCAAAAGCCUUAACUCAUUUGUUCUUUAUAAAUUCUUCUGCUUAAGAUCAAGGACUGUUGCAAGAGAUCUGGAGUAAGACUUCAAAUUUGAAGUAGCCUUCACCCUGACAAGCAUCAGCAUCACCAUUGGAGGAGGUUUUGCAAUGAAGUCCAGAAUCUUCAGUGAGAUUAUCACUGGCAGCUAGUUCAUUCUGCCUUGGGCAUCUUCCCAGCACACAGAAGAAGGAACUAAAAUAGCUUUACACAGCCUUUACAAAAUGUCAUGUUAAUGGUGAGCCACAGCUCUUGUAGCAGAUGAUGAUGACCUGGUAAAACCAUGGCCAGACAUGGGGUUAUCCCAUCCCAGCUGCAGUCUGCACCCAACAUUCAGUUCCAGUGCUGGAAGAAACAACCAUACUGUCCCAUACAUACUUCUUACACAUGAUGGACCUGGUCAUGUGGACACCUGCACAGUGGAAGAUUUCACUGGAAAUCUAUUUUACAAGGAAGAUGAAAAACUAUUUUUUAUCGUGUUGAUACAUCCUUUGAUGGCUUUUUCAGAGUAAAGUGCUUUGACUUCAACCAAUAGCUUUUAAUUGUGCUUUAACACACUUGUCUUGGAAAUAACUGUAAAAGGAAAAAAAGGAUUUUCUAUUCCUCUUAAGUGAUUUUGAAAAACAACCCAGUCAUUUGCUAAGCCUACAUUGCACUGAGCUUUCAUUUUUAGCACUAAAGUCACAACAAAUGCAAUGUGGCUUCUAGAACAAUGAAAGUUCUAAAAUUUCAGAUUGCAUUACUGAAAAAAAAAAAAAAAAAAAAAGACUAAAAAACAAAGAAACAAAAAUAAUUAGUAACCUGGCCUAGUACUGGAAGUAAAACAAAUUGUUUGGUUGAGAAGCAGGUACCUACUAAAACAACUUGCAGAUCAAGAGGAGAAAUGAGGGGCUCCUUCUAUACAUGCACCUCCAUAUAUACAUAUGUAUCUGUGUUUAUAUGUAGAUGAUAUAUGCGUGUAUGUGCAUACAAAUGUGUAUAUAUGUCUAUGUGUGUUCAUAUACAAAUAAUGUUGUGACUGAAGUCAACAUCUUGAAUUUGGAAGGAGAGAAUAUAGCACACGACUUUUCUGAACACUGAAAAUUGACUAUGCUGCUGCUUGUUUGAAGUUUAAUAAUGUUUCAAAAGAUUAAGGUAUUUCAUAUUUGUAAAAAAUAUAGAUAUGUAUCACUUGUCUGGCCCUUCCUAUGAUAUGUCACGUCUGUGCCUGUUUUGAUUUGGGAUGGAUCAACAUUUUCAGGAUCAAAAGUAAUGAUUUAAAUUGGAGUCUGACAGACCUCUACAGUCCUACAAGUGGAGAUGUUAUUGUGAAGAAAAGUAAUUAGAUUGUCUCUGUCAGGGAGAGAUUUGGCCAGUCACACACAUCUCUUUCAUUAGCUAUUAGCUUCAUCAGCUUCAGGUGUUUUAUUUUCAGCUACAGCAUCACACUGAUCAAACUAUACCUUUUAUUCCCGUUAAUUAGGAACAUAGCAUCCUUCUCUUCUCAAAUUUUGGCACCUCAAAAGCAAUCAUAAAUAUCAGAUCCUUUGUCAGCUGAGCUGAACAUGAUAAUAAUUAUAUUUUUCCUUAUAACAGGAGAUCAAAGCUUGAGAAGAGGUGAUAUACACCUUUGGUAUUCAGACUCAAGCUUGGGGGUCAGUUGAACCUGGAGAAGUUAUUUUGCUGGUUUUAUAGCAUAAAGCUAUCUUUAAAAGUACUGUCCAGUGACACGUCAGUCCUGAACUGCAGGCCUAAAGCACCCUGGGUGCUUUGUUAAGGUGUGUGGGUUUUUCCUCUCACACGCUGUAAUUCAUUUGAAUGGGGCCCUGGCCAACAUGACAGUUGUCAGCUCUAUGGUUGUCAACCCUGUCCAUGGCAAGGAAGUUGGAACCAGGUGAUCUUUAAAAUCCCUUCCAACCCAAGCCAUUUUAUGACUGUAUGAUUCUAUGAAUACAAAAAAUUGGCAUGAAGUCAAGGCUCAGAUCUGUAAUGAUAUAAGGAAAACUUAGUAAUUUUAAACCCAGCUUUCAUAUGUACUGUUUUGAAAGGUUUUGAGAAGGAAUUUGUAUUUGCUUUCUCACCCUAAAUUCUAGCCACUGCUGGAGAGUGGUUGGAGAGUCUCUAACCUUAGGCUGUAAGUGGGAUUUCCUACUUCUCCCCUCUCUACUCUGCAUGUUUUUUUCCUGUUGUAAUGCAAAUCUCCAGAUCCAGGGGAACACCCUACCCUUCAUGGGAAUUCUCUCAGUGAGGAGGUCAGCUUCUAAAAGCUGCUUGUGUCUGCCCCAAGAAGAUGCACAAUACACAGAUGUUGGCUGUGACUGCAUGUUAUGAAUGUGUCCAUCAUUUUUCUGUGAUCACUUUAAGAUUGCCUCCCAGUGGGGCUGUGAACAAAUGUAAAUCUGUGUCCUUUCUCUUUUCAAAGACUUUCUCUUCUCUUUCCAAAUAGAAACUGCCAGAGGUGACAGGAGAGUCAGAUGAAUCCUCCAAGGAUUUCACAAGCAUAAGAAAAGAUCCUCCAGUGGCCACUGGCAGUGAGAGUGAGCUGCCGUAAAUCAGCAGUUUAGCAGGCAGAAGGUAGUCUGGCUAUGGUUG
Molecule: long non-coding RNA, 12870 nt
Organism: Gallus gallus (chicken)
Lineage: Eukaryota; Metazoa; Chordata; Aves; Galliformes; Phasianidae
Exons: 6
Source: RefSeq, a predicted model, not a curated record